UAAACGGUUAACUUUGAACCUUGGGGACUCCAAGAGCUCAACGGGAAGGUUUGGCACCUCGAUGUUGGCUCUUCGCCACCCAGGGCUGUAGUAUGUUCCAAGGGUCUGGGUUGUUUGCCCAUUAAAUUGGUACAUGAGCUGUAUUCAGAAUGUCGUGAGAUAGUUCGGUUCAUAUCUAGUGUGGGCGUUAGAGCAUUGCGAGGACCUUUCCCAAGUACGAGAGGAUUGGGAAGGACGCAUCUCUGGUGUACCAGUUAUCGUGCCCACGGUACAAGCUGGGUAGCCAAGUGCGGAGCACUAAAGUAGUGAAAGUGGGCAGU
Molecule: small RNA, 320 nt
Filed under: Malus domestica (apple)
Lineage: Eukaryota; Viridiplantae; Streptophyta; Magnoliopsida; Rosales; Rosaceae
Description: sRNA MD14G0127900
Rfam family: Bacterial large subunit ribosomal RNA
Source: RNAcentral